GACGAACGCUGGCGGCGUGCCUAAUACAUGCAAGUCGAGCGGACCAAAGGGAGCUUGCUCCUGGAGGUCAGCGGCGAACGGGUGAGUAACACGUGGGCAACCUGCCUGUAAGACUGGGAUAACAUCGAGAAAUCGGUGCUAAUACCGGAUAAUAAAAAGAACUGCAUGGUUCUUUUUUGAAAGAUGGUUUCGGCUAUCACUUACAGAUGGGCCCGCGGCGCAUUAGCUAGUUGGUGAGGUAACGGCUCACCAAGGCAACGAUGCGUAGCCGACCUGAGAGGGUGAUCGGCCACACUGGGACUGAGACACGGCCCUGACUCCUACGGGAGGCAGCAGUAGGGAAUCUUCCGCAAUGGACGAAAAGUCUGACGGAGCAACGCCGCGUGAGUGAUGAAGGUUUUCGGAUCGUAAAACUCUGUUGUUAGGGAAGAACAAGUGCCGUUCGAAAGGGCGGCACCUUGACGGUACCUAACGAGAAAGCCACGGCUAACUACGUGCCAGCAGCCGACGG
Molecule: ribosomal RNA, 511 nt
Filed under: uncultured bacterium
Lineage: Bacteria
Description: bacterial SSU rRNA
Rfam family: Bacterial small subunit ribosomal RNA
Source: RNAcentral